RNAcentral lists this long non-coding RNA (491 nucleotides) under Parus major (Great Tit). RNAcentral's name for it is "lncRNA (ENSPMJG00000019415.1)". Lineage: Eukaryota; Metazoa; Chordata; Aves; Passeriformes; Paridae. The record is from RNAcentral.
CAUUAAUGCUGCCAUUACCAGAAUGUUGCUGGCAUUGCUCCUGUGUUAGAAGAUAAUUACUGGACUCAUUCCUGACAUGUAACACUUCUUUUUUCCAGGGAGGUGGGUGGAUGGGCACACAGAACUCAUUGCUGAACUACUGAAGUUGGCAAAAUUAUUGAAGGAGCUAAAUUGUGUAAAGAGAACCUAUAUAUACUUAUCAGAAUAUGCAAUGCAGAUGUAACCCAGGGAAUUGCUUCCAAGCUCUAGGAAAUCCUUCAGACUGCCCUGGAAAGGAGCGCUGAAUGUGUCUGUAGUUUCAGUGUUUGGCCAGUGCACAGUCCUGAGGGCCUUUACUAUGGCUACAAGACCAGAUAUUCAUCCCCAAGGCACACAAUGCUCCUAGAACAUAAAAAAUCUGUAGAAGCUAGCUGAGAAUUCUGCAAGCAUGUCUGAAUGCCAAAUCAACUGAGGUAAGUUGGAGUUUAUGUCCCUGAACAUCUUGUACGAUC